AUGUCGCGACAUCCCCAUGUUGUGAUAUCGCCACGUCUCGACAUCCCCAUGUCCGAAUGCCCCCAUGUCACAACAUCCCCAUAUCGCAAAAUCCCCGUGUCACGACAUCCCCAAAUCAUGACAUCUGCAUGUCACGACAUCCCCAUGUCAUGACAUCCCCAUU
RNAcentral lists this long non-coding RNA (163 nucleotides) under Phasianus colchicus (ring-necked pheasant). RNAcentral describes it as "lncRNA (ENSPCLG00000017590.1)". The record is from RNAcentral. Lineage: Eukaryota; Metazoa; Chordata; Aves; Galliformes; Phasianidae.